GUCUCAAUAGCUCAGUGGUAGUAGCGUGCGAUUGCAGAUCGCAAUGUCACGUGUUCGAACCACGUUUGGGACU
RNAcentral lists this transfer RNA (73 nucleotides) under Plicaturopsis crispa FD-325 SS-3. Its description in RNAcentral is "tRNA-Cys (GCA) (tRNA-Cys-GCA-1-1)". It matches the Rfam family "tRNA". Rfam says of the family: Transfer RNA (tRNA) molecules are approximately 80 nucleotides in length. Lineage: Eukaryota; Fungi; Basidiomycota; Agaricomycetes; Amylocorticiales; Amylocorticiaceae. The record is from RNAcentral.